ACUUCGCUGGCGCCCGGCUUACCCUUUAUAUUCAUUACGAGAUUUUCGGAUCUGGCGGCGGACGGGUGAGUAACGCGUGGGAAUAUGCCCUUCUCUACGGAAUAGCCUCGGGAAACUGGGAGUCAUACCGUAUACGCCCUUAGGGGGAAAGAUUUAUCGGAAAAGGAUUACCCCGCGUUGGAUUAGGUAGUUGGUGGGGUAAUGGCCUACCAAGCCGACGAUCCAUAGCUGGUUUGAGAGGAUGAUCACCCCCACUGGGACUGAGACACGGCCCAGACUCCUACGGGAGGCAGCAGUGGGGAAUCUUAAACAAUGGGGGCAACCCUGAUCUAGCCAUGCCGCGUGAGUGAUGAAGGCCUUAUGUUUGUAAAGCUCUUUCAGCUGGGAAGAUAAUGACGGUACCAGCAGAAAAAGCCCCGGCUAACUCCGUGCCAGCAGCCGCGGUAAUACGGAGGGGGCUAGCGUUGUUCGGAAUUACUGGGCGUAAAGCGCUCGUAGGCGGACCAAAAGUUGGAGGUGAAAUCCCAGGGCUCACCCUUGGAACUGCCUUCAAAACUAUUGGUCUGGAUUUCCAGAGAGGUGAGUGGAAUUCCAAGUGUAGAGGUGAAAUUCGUAAAUAUUCGGAGGACCCCGGUGGCGAAGGGGGUCCUGGCUCCUUGUGGCGCUGAGGUGAAACCUGGGGAGAAAAGGAUAUAUCCCGGGGAUCCCCGCCGAAAGAGGAGGCCCCCCGGG
RNAcentral lists this ribosomal RNA (732 nucleotides) under uncultured bacterium. RNAcentral describes it as "bacterial SSU rRNA". It matches the Rfam family "Bacterial small subunit ribosomal RNA", at positions 48 to 821 of the family's 1533-position model. The record is from RNAcentral.